Molecule: long non-coding RNA, 226 nt
Filed under: Gallus gallus (chicken)
Lineage: Eukaryota; Metazoa; Chordata; Aves; Galliformes; Phasianidae
Source: RNAcentral
UGGAUGAUGGCUCUUGAGAGACUUUAGAGGAAUUUGCCAUUUGGAAAAAGGAAAAAAGAAGAACGUUUAAUUAGAGAUGGAGCUAAAGCAGAUAAUUUGAUCUUCCAAUGGAAAACAGAAUUACAGGUUAAAAAUGAAGAUUAUACACUCUGGGUGAAGAAUGCUCCCUCAUUUCAGGAGCACAAGUGGAAGGAAAGGAAAGGAAGAACGAGGACUGGCCCUUGGC